CAGUCGCCGCGGGAAUACGUAGGUGGCAAGCGUUGUCCGGAAUUAUUGGGCGUAAAGCGCGCGCAGGCGGCCUCUUAAGUCUGAUGUGAAAGCCCCCGGCUCAACCGGGGAGGGCCAUUGGAAACUGGGAGGCUUGAGUAUAGGAGAGAAGAGUGGAAUUCCACGUGUAGCGGUGAAAUGCGUAGAGAUGUGGAGGAACACCAGUGGCGAAGGCGACUCUUUGGCCUAUAACUGACGCUGAGGCGCGAAAGCGUGGGGAGCAAACAGGAUUAGAUACCCCGGUAGUCCCUGUCUCUUAUAC
RNAcentral lists this ribosomal RNA (301 nucleotides) under uncultured bacterium. RNAcentral's name for it is "partial 16S ribosomal RNA". It matches the Rfam family "Bacterial small subunit ribosomal RNA", at positions 509 to 807 of the family's 1533-position model. The record is from RNAcentral.